RNAcentral lists this non-coding RNA (29 nucleotides) under Homo sapiens (human). The record is from RNAcentral. Lineage: Eukaryota; Metazoa; Chordata; Mammalia; Primates; Hominidae.
UCCAGUGUCUUCAGCAGAUCACCAUUGCU